CCUACGGGAGGCAGCAGUGGGGAAUAUGGACAAUGGGGGAAAGCGGGAUCCAGCCAUGCGGCGCAAGCAAGACCCGCCAGGGUGUAAAGCGAUGAAUCCGGGGGGAAGUGCAGGUCUUCACACCGGGAUAAUGACGGUACCGGAAGAAGAAGCAAGCUACUUUC
This 164-nucleotide ribosomal RNA is filed under the name uncultured bacterium. RNAcentral describes it as "partial 16S ribosomal RNA". The record is from RNAcentral.